This is a long non-coding RNA of Dasypus novemcinctus (nine-banded armadillo), 1634 nucleotides long. The record is from Ensembl. Lineage: Eukaryota; Metazoa; Chordata; Mammalia; Cingulata; Dasypodidae.
AGGUGUUCUUCUGGAAAGGAGACUUGCCCCCCAGUGCUACUUACGCGCAGAGUCAAGAAAAAUGUUUUCUCGCCGAGCGCGCGUUCAUUCACAGAAUGCUCUCGCCUCACUGCGCGAUUGCGUUCUCGGUUCGCUGGUCUACAGCGAAAAAACCCUAAGCGUGAACUCGGCCUGGGCAACGAUGAGUCCAAAACCCUUGGCCUUUUGCAUGAGGGGUGUAGGGCCAGACCAGGAGGCGGACAAAGCCAAGCAAAUCCGGAGCUCCGGGACAGAGCAGACUUUUGCACCUCUCGGGGAAGCAUGUCCUCCGGCCAGCGGACCCCGGCUCCGCGCCCAGGCGGGCGGCGCAGAUUUUUGAUGGGAGCUGUGACUUUAACUUCUUUAAGAAGAAGGAGAAAGAGCAACUGAAGAGACAAUGACAGGAAUUGGAUAUGGCUCAAAGGACUGAGCUUCCGCCUACCAUAUAGGAGGUCCAGGGUUCGAUACCCAGGGCCUCCUGGCCUGUGUGGUGAGCUGGCCCAUGUGGAGUGCUGCCAUGAGCAAGGGGUGUCACCCCACACAGGGGUACCCUGUGCGCAAGGAGCGGCCCCCACGCAAGGAGUGCUGCCCUGUGCAGGAGGGCAGACCACCCAGGAGUGGAGCUGCCCACAUGGAGAGCUGAUGCAACAAGAUGACACACACACAAAAAGAGACACAGAGAAUAUGAUUCACAGUGAACUAGGGAGCUGAGGUGGAGCAAGAGAAUAAUCACCUCUCUCCCACUCUGGAAUGUCCCAUGAUGGUUCAAGAUGGGUUCCCAGAGCUGCCUAAUGAGAAUACAACAGACACAGACGAACACACAGCAAAUGUACACAGAGAGAAGACAACAAUGGGGGUGGGGAGAAAUAAGGAAAGAGAAAAAAAAAAAAGAGACAAUGACAAUUAAAUGCAGUUAAGUGUCCUGGAUGGAAUCUAACAGUGAAGGAGAAAGGGCUUAAAGGGACAUUACUGGGACAUAUGAAAAACUAGAAUCUAUACUGUAAGCUUUAUAUCAAUGUUAAAUUUCCUAAACAUGAUAACUGUACUUAUGGUGCCUACGUAAGUGAACACCCUUGUUCUUAGGAAUGUGCAAAGACAUGUUAUGUGUUCAAAGAACAUGAUGUAUACAACUUGUUCUCAAAUGUUCAGAAAAUAGAUGUAGAUGGGUAGGUAAGAGAUAGGUAGAUUGACUGAUAGGUGAAUGGAAAGAAUGAUAAGGCGAAUGUGACAACAUGUCAAAAUUGGUGGAUCUGAGUAUUGGUGGGGGGAGGGCUGGGGAUAUAUUGGAGUCCUUGGUAUGGGAUUUAUAUUAUUUUUGUAGCUGUCUUAUAAGUAUGAAAUUAUUUCAAAAUAAAAAAAGCUAAAGAAAAAUUUGGUAUAAUGGUUCCCUAAUGUCUUCCCCCCAAAACUACAAAUUUUCUUCUUGGCAUUCAAGGUCUCCAAGACCUGGUCCCAUUCACCUGUACACUUGUAUCUUCAGUGGCCUCCAACACUACCCCUCUACGCCAGUCUGUCUGGUCUCUUCAUUAUCCUCUACCCUCAAGAAGUUACAUUCACACCUUAGGGUUUUGCUUUCAGGUACUUCCUAUCUGGAAUUCCCUCCCUAACAUUUACCC